This 492-nucleotide ribosomal RNA is filed under the name uncultured bacterium. Its description in RNAcentral is "partial 16S ribosomal RNA". It matches the Rfam family "Bacterial small subunit ribosomal RNA", at positions 29 to 507 of the family's 1533-position model. The record is from RNAcentral.
AGUGAACGCUGGCGGUAGGCCUAACACAUGCAAGUCGAACGGCAGCACAGUAAGAUCUUGCUCUUACGGGUGGCGAGUGGCGUACGGGUGAGGAGUACAUCGGAAUCUACUUUUUCGUGGGGGAUAACGUAGGUAAACUUACGCUAAUACCGCAUACGACCUACGGGUGAAAGCAGUGGAUCUUCUGACCUUGCGCGAUUGAAUGAGCCGAUUUCGGAUUAGCUAGUUGGCGGGGUAAAGGCCCACCAAGGCGACGAUCCGUAGCUGGUCUGAGAGGAUGAUAAGCCACAUUGGAACUGAGACACGGUCCAGACUCCUAAGGGAGGCAGCAGUGGGGAAUAUUGGACAAUGGGCGCAAGCCUGAUCCAGCCAUACCGCGUGGGUGAAGAAGGCCUUCGGGUUGUAAAGCCCUUUUGUUGGGAAAGAAAAGCAGCAGGUUAAUACCCCGCUGUUCUGACGGUACCCAAAGAAUAAGCACCGGCUAACUUCGUG